GUAGUCCACGCCCUAAACGAUGUCAACUAGUUGUCGGGUCUUCAUUGACUUGGUAACGUAGCUAACGCGUGAAGUUGACCGCCUGGGGAGUACGGUCGCAAGAUUAAAACUCAAAGGAAUUGACGGGGACCCGCACAAGCGGUGGAUGAUGUGGAUUAAUUCGAUGCAACGCGAAAAACCUUACCUACCCUUGACAUGUAUGGAACCCUGCUGAGAGGUGGGGGUGCCCGAAAGGGAGCCAUAACACAGGUGCUGCAUGGCUGUCGUCAGCUCGUGUCGUGAGAUGUUGGGUUAAGUCCCGCAACGAGCGCAACCCUUGUCCCUAGUUGCUACGCAAGAGCACUCUAGGGAGACUGCCGGUGACAAACCGGAGGAAGGUGGGGAUGACGUCAAGUCCUCAUGGCCCUUAUGGGUAGGGCUUCACACGUCAUACAAUGGUCGGAACAGAGGGUCGCCAACCCGCGAGGGGGAGCCAAUCCCAGAAAACCGAUCGUAGUCCGGAUCGCACUCUGCAACUCGAGUGCGUGAAGCUGGAAUCGCUAGUAAUCGCGGAUCAGCAUGCCGCGUGAAUACGUUCCGGUCUGUACACACGCCGUCACACCAUGGGAGUGGGUUUUAACCNGAAGUGCUAGUCUAACGCAAGGAGACGGUCACACGGUAGAUUCAUGAC
RNAcentral lists this ribosomal RNA (670 nucleotides) under uncultured bacterium. RNAcentral's name for it is "bacterial SSU rRNA". It matches the Rfam family "Bacterial small subunit ribosomal RNA", at positions 790 to 1475 of the family's 1533-position model. The record is from RNAcentral.